Molecule: ribosomal RNA, 301 nt
Filed under: uncultured bacterium
Lineage: Bacteria
Description: partial 16S ribosomal RNA
Rfam family: Bacterial small subunit ribosomal RNA
Source: RNAcentral
CAGUCGCCACGGUAAUACGGAGGAUCCAAGCGUUAUCCGGAAUCAUUGGGUUUAAAGGGUCCGUAGGCGGUUUAGUAAGUCAGUGGUGAAAGCCCAUCGCUCAACGGUGGAACGGCCAUUGAUACUGCUGAACUUGAAUUAUUAGGAAGUAACUAGAAUAUGUAGUGUAGCGGUGAAAUGCUUAGAGAUUACAUGGAAUACCAAUUGCGAAGGCAGGUUACUACUAAUUGAUUGACGCUGAUGGACGAAAGCGUGGGGAGCGAACAGGAUUAGAUACCCCCGUAGUCCCUGUCUCUUAUAC